This 478-nucleotide ribosomal RNA is filed under the name uncultured organism. RNAcentral describes it as "partial 16S ribosomal RNA". It matches the Rfam family "Bacterial small subunit ribosomal RNA", at positions 332 to 801 of the family's 1533-position model. The record is from RNAcentral.
UACACUCCUACGGGAGGCAGCAGUGGGGAAUAUUGCACAAUGGGCGCAAGCCUGAUGCAGCCAUGCCGCGUGUAUGAAGAAGGCCUUCGGGUUGUAAAGUACUUUCAGCGGGGAGGAAGGCGAUAAGGUUAAUAACCUUGUUGAUUGACGUUACCCGCAGAAGAAGCACCGGCUAACUCCGUGCCAGCAGCCGCGGUAAUACGGAGGGUGCAAGCGUUAAUCGGAAUUACUGGGCGUAAAGCGCACGCAGGCGGUCUGUCAAGUCGGAUGUGAAAUCCCCGGGCUCAACCUGGGAACUGCAUUCGAAACUGGCAGGCUAGAGUCUUGUAGAGGGGGGUAGAAUUCCAGGUGUAGCGGUGAAAGGCGUAGAGAUCUGGAGGAAUACCGGUGGCGAAGGCGGCCCCCUGGACAAAGACUGACGCUCAGGUGCGAAAGCGUGGGGAGCAAACAGGAUUAGAAACCCCGGUAGUCCCAUGAU